UUGAGCCAAUUGUCCAAAGUCCAACACACUGGUGGCAGUGUAAUUCAUUUAAGAGCUUCUGGGAGUUGCCAUUAAAUAAUCAUUAAUGUCACAUUCUCUAUGUGCAUCCGUUACUUUCACUACAAAAUCGUAUUACAGAAAAGAUCAUGCUUCACGUCAGAGACACUGCAGAAGAAGAGACUGGCAUGAGAAGCUUGAUGCACUCUGAAAUGCCUCAGGAAUGCUAAAAGGUUCCAUGUAGAAUCAUUCCUUUGAAGAGUGUGAGCACUUAUUUCUUCAAGGCACUGGCAUUAAUGUAAGUAUUAGAAAUCAAAACCAUAUCAAGAUCAUAUUUUAAUGCAUUUCAAGUCACCUUUAUGUGUCAACUAGAUUCCAUUAAAAUUCCAUUAAAUUGCUAUUUUAAGCUAAUAUUUAAGACAUUAGUCUUAGCUCGCCAAUUCUUCGCACAUCUUGCAGCUGAGGGCAGAACAGAGUUGUUCAUCAUUUAUGAAUCAGCCAUUACUAAGUCACAUGUUCAGUAAUGCUGAAUUCUUUUCCUACUCCUACCAUAUCUGAUGCGGUUCACUGACGACACCUUUCCACUAAAAAAGGUAAAAAACAAAAAAAAACCUCUUUAAUGACACACUCCAUUCCUAGCAUUUUGGCAUACUUCUUCUGUCUGACCUUUUACCGAGCAUCAAUUGAACACCGCACCGGUAAAUGGGUUGCUCUGAUAAUUACUCCGAUUAGGAUUUCAACACUGAAUGCCGGCACCCAACCAGGAAGUUCUCCCUGAAGCCUCAUUAACACCAAGCUAACACAGGAUAUGAUCUCAGUGUGUAUAGAAAGGGAUGCAGGAGAGGAAGUGUGAGUCAUCAGAGCAGAUGAUUGCAUGUAGAUUCAUGUAGUGUACGCACCGUGGAUGACUGUGUGUGGACUUUUUUUGACGGUGUAAAGUUGAUUGAAGAUUUAUUCCUCCAGUUAUUUAUUCGACGUACUGUACAAACUCCGCAUCGACAAUCUAAGCAAUGUGGAACAAUAUUUAACAUCCUGUUCGUUACAGACACUGUGGAUCGCUUCACGGGGCAGACUCGGGAGGUAGGAUGCAAAUGCAGUGCGUUUAAUUGCGGAGAGUCUAAAAAAAUUGGAACUGAUAGAAAUGGGUCAAAAAUACCAGAACAGGCAGAAAUGGGAACAGAGGACAAUCCAAAAUUUCAGGCAAAACCUGUGACAAAAACAGACAGAACAAACAAGUACACAAGAGCUAGCAGUUGAGCAGUUGAAAACCAAACAGAGUUCAAUAUCAGAAGAAUCACGGAUUACGAUUAUAUAGGCUUAGUAAUGUCAAGGACCCAAAGGAACAGCAUGUACCUCACAAGGAGGUACUGAAACAUAUGUAACUGAGCACUGGUGAAUAUAAUGAGAGGCUGGUCACUGUGAAUAUGGAAGUGCUGGUGGUUGCUGGGAAUUUGAGUCCAUUGUGGCUCAUUGUGUUUGUUGGUUGCGGUGAAAUGCAGUGUUGGACACUAGGACGCAUGAUGCAAGUUCCCCCAUACCCCACCCACUAAUUAUAAUAAUAAUACCAAUCCACCUAGUAAGUGCUUAAGCAUCAAUUAAAGAAUAUGCAAACAAUGUAAAAAGUAUUGUAUAAUACAGCAGAUUGCAUUCUUUUUUAUCAUUAUCGUCUUGCUUUCUUUUUUUUUUAAAUUUUUUUACUAUAAAACAGAAUUUUAUGUUCUAUAAAUGAUGUUUUUCUGUCAGCUGCUAGCAAACAAAACAUCACCGCUGAGACGAUUUGGUUCAUUUUUAAUGAAAUGCACCGUAAUUAAAAAUUAAACCCAUGUUUACUUUGAACCUUAUUUCUGAACUUUAUAUACAACUUGACAAAGAGGUUCAAAGCAGCUGUUUAAAGACCUACAUUUUCAAAGUUUUACCAGAAGGAUAACAGCACCAAACUUCAGAAACGGAGGAAACGCGGCCGCAAAGUAACUGAAAAGUCGCAGAGCAAUUUGUGUGAAUACAAAAACAUCCAAAACAAAUGUUAAAAUAAGAGAGAUUUUAGAGGCGAGUGGAAAUAAAGUUGUCACGGAUCAUGUCACCCCUACUGUCUUCGUUCCCUUUGGUAGUCACUCCAUUAUUGCAUAAAGUUAAAUCUUUGUCAUGUCACUGGACACACCCACAUCUAGUCACCAACGCUCGCUGUCGCUCCUGGCAGCUCUCAUUGAAAAUGAAAAUCUCCGGUGGCUUUGUCACUGUGACUCGCUGUAGCUGUGAACAGGUGUGUAUGUACGUAUACAGCAUUACUUUGCUCCCACACUAUAAUAUUUGGCAAGGCUAACUGUAAAAGCAUAUUGUUCUCAUUUGAUGUGUUAAAUUCCUUUUCACUUGUUACCUAAGGCAAUCAAUGAACAAAGCAUCUGGCAUCAAGGACUCUCUCCUUUCACUGGGUUCCUUGGAAAAGCAAUAAAACUUCAAGAUGUGGACACGGUGCACAUACACGUAUAAUUGCAAAGGAAAAGGAGAGAAAUUGUGAGGUGUAGAAAAGAGGAAGAGGCUGGAAAGAGACGGAUAAUAAUUACAGGUGGCACAGGGGAGCCCAACAAAAUGAGAUCUUUUUCACUUGGGGAAGAAGCAAAAGACAGACAAGAUUCUGUUUUCAGUCCCUCAGCAUCCACAAUACACAAAAAACCCAACAUCCAAGCACUUGAACCUCCAAAUCACUCCCACUCAGGCUUUUGGAUUAACAAUAAACACCACCCCAUCUCUCUGACACAGACGCAGCUUCUUUCCAGUAUUUUUAUUCCUGUAUUUUACAGGCAUAACUCAUAAAUCAUCAAGCUAAAUCUCAGCUCACAUAGACUCCGGAUCACAGCUCAUUGUAGGCGUGGGUUGUAUAACAUCUGCAUUAUAAAAUACAGUUAUUAGCUGGGAUUAGAAGCUAUUCAUUUUUCAUUUUGAUUCAUUCGGAACAGAAACAAAACUGCUCCAGCUUUCCACAAGACCUCUUUAGUAAGAAGUCACUUACAAUGAAAUAAAAUUAUAAAAUAGAUGAAACUCUUUACCAGCACACUGGCUACCGGUGAAUGGAAAUGGACUUAUCAGACAUUUUCCAUCAGUAUAAACAAAUUAUUUUAUGGCUGCAGGUCUGAUAUAAAAUAAGUCAGGACUGGUUUUGACUGUGACGUUUCGGGUUUUUCCCUCUGUUGGAUAACCUCACACAGAAUUUUAGUGGUUGAAGACAAUGCCUUCAAAUUUAAGCUGGGGGGGGCAUCCCAGAGGGCAGAAAUGGGUUUGAUAUCACCAUUUACUAUGAAGAAACAUUUGUGGGAAAUUAUUAUUAUCAUUAUUAUUAUUAUUAUUAUUAUUAUUAUUAUUAUUAUGAAUAAUUUUAUUAUUUUUUAAUCAUUUUUUACAAUAUAUAUUUAUCCAAAUAAGUGUGUGUAUUUGCCCUAUGAUGGGUUGGCACUCCGUCCAGGGUGUAUCCUGCCUUGAUGCCCAAUGAUGCCUAUAGUCACAGGAUCCCUGUGACCCAGGAAUAUAGCAGAU
This is a long non-coding RNA of Hemibagrus wyckioides, 3525 nucleotides long. RefSeq lists it as uncharacterized. The transcript has 5 exons. The record is from RefSeq and is a predicted model, not a curated record. Lineage: Eukaryota; Metazoa; Chordata; Actinopteri; Siluriformes; Bagridae.